AUUGAACGCUGGCGGAAUGCUUUACACAUGCAAGUCGAACGGCAGCACGGGGGCAACCCUGGUGGCGAGUGGCGAACGGGUGAGUAAUAUAUCGGAACGUGCCCAGUCGUGGGGGAUAACGUAGCGAAAGUUACGCUAAUACCGCAUACGAUCUACGGAUGAAAGCGGGGGAUCGCAAGACCGCGCGCGAUUGGAGCGGCCGAACUCAGAUUAGGUAGUUGGUGGGGUAAAGGCUCACCAAGCCAACGAUCUGUAGCUGGUCUGAGAGGACGACCAGCCACACUGGGACUGAGACACGGCCCAGACUCCUACGGGAGGCAGCAGUGGGGAAUUUUGGACAAUGGGCGCAAGCCUGAUCCAGCCAUUCCGCGUGCAGGACGAAGGCCUUCGGGUUGUAAACUGCUUUUGUACGGAACGAAAAAGCCUUGGCUAAUACCCAGGGUCCAUGACGGUACCGUAAGAAUAAGCACCGGCUAACUACGUGCCAGCAGCCGCCGUAA
Molecule: ribosomal RNA, 500 nt
Filed under: uncultured bacterium
Lineage: Bacteria
Description: partial 16S ribosomal RNA
Rfam family: Bacterial small subunit ribosomal RNA
Source: RNAcentral